Molecule: ribosomal RNA, 426 nt
Filed under: Agrilus angustulus angustulus
Lineage: Eukaryota; Metazoa; Arthropoda; Insecta; Coleoptera; Buprestidae
Description: partial 16S ribosomal RNA
Source: RNAcentral
UUAACAAAAACAUGUCCUUUUGAUUGGUGUUUAAGGUCUGAUCUGCCCUAUGAUUAAUAAUUUAAAUGGCCGCGAUAUUUUGAUCGUGCGAAGGUAGCAUAAUCAUUAGUUUUUUAAUUGAAAGCUGGUAUGAAUGAUUGGACAAGAAGCUUUCUGUCUCAAAUUUAUUUUUUGAAUUUUAUUUUUUAGUUAAAAAGCUCAAAUUAGCUUGUAAGACGAGAAGACCCUAUAGAGUUUAAUAUUUUUAUUUACAUUUAAAUUUUAGGAUUAAUAAUUUUUUUGUUUUAUAAAGUAUUUGGUUGGGGUGACAGGAAAAUUUAUUAAACUUUUUUUAUAUAAAAUAUAGAUUUAUAGGUUGUUGACUUAUAUUAAUAGUUAAAAGAAUAAAUUACCUUAGGGAUAACAGCGUAAUUUUUCUAAAGAGUU